GAGCCACCGUUUUUAGUGAGAAAGAAGAGAAGAGAGAAAAACGCAAGUUUUUCUCAUCAUGCCCAGAUUUCAUCAGAGGUCCGAUCCCACUUCGUCUGUGGUCCGAUUGAGCUGAAAUUUGGAGGAGAGUUUCGUGACUCAUUUAUCUUCAAUCUGAACGGUGAAGAUCGGAUUUGGAGUUUCGGAAAGUCAUUAGAAAGAAAGAGGAGAAGAGAGAAAAACGCAAGUUUUUCUCAUCAUGCCCAGAUUUCAUCAAAUGUCCGAUCCCGCUUCGUCCGUGGUCCGAUUGAGUUGAAAUUUGAAGGAGAGGUUCGUGGCUCAUGUAUCUUCCAUAUUAACGGUGCAGAUCGGAUUUGGAGUUUCGGACAGUCAUUAGAGAGAAAGAGGAGAGAGAGAAAAACAACGGUUUUUUACAUCAUGCCCAGAUUUCAUCAAAGGUCCGAUGCCGCUUUGUUCAUGGUCUGAUUGAGCUGAAAUUUGGAGGAGAGGUUCAUAAGUCAUUAAUAUUAAAUUUGAACGGUGAAGAUCGGAUUUAGAGUUUUGUAAAAUCAUCUUUUAGCCAAAAACAGAACCUUUAUUUUGGUGGGUUUUUUCUCUCUGGCUGUUUUGAUCAUUAGCUUUAAUCGAGGUCAAUUCGUGGUCCAAUUGAGUUGCAAUUUUAGGAGCACGUUCAGGACACAUUGAUCUUCAUUCUAACCGUGGAGAUUGGAUUUGGAGUUUGGAAAAAUGGUAUUUUAGUCCGAGAACAGUGGUUAUGUUUGGUUUCAAAGGAAAUUGAUUGGCCAAAAGACAAGAAGUCAUAAUGUUGAAGGAGGUAGUGAUGCCGAAAAUCAUGAAGAUUACAUCAAAGUCAUUUGGAGGAUGAUCUUAUUUUUUAUAGAAUAUAGAUCUUAAUAGUUGUUGCACUAAUAUUUGUUCUUUUGUAGAAUUAGAAAUUGUUAUUGAAAUAUUUUGAUAUAAUUAAUAAAUUUGUAUGUAAGUAUGAAGUUACAUUAAUAGUUUGAUGUGUCAUUGAUAAAAUCUAUUAAAGAUGACACUUCUAUAAA
Long non-coding RNA from Vitis riparia (riverbank grape), 1046 nucleotides. RefSeq lists it as uncharacterized. The record is from RefSeq and is a predicted model, not a curated record. The transcript is spliced from 2 exons. NCBI's taxonomy places the organism in Eukaryota, Viridiplantae, Streptophyta, Magnoliopsida, Vitales, Vitaceae.